Molecule: transfer RNA, 66 nt
Filed under: Tenebrio molitor (yellow mealworm)
Lineage: Eukaryota; Metazoa; Arthropoda; Insecta; Coleoptera; Tenebrionidae
Description: tRNA-Ser
Source: RNAcentral
AACUAAUGAGCUUGAUACAAGCUUAUGCCUUGAAAACAUAAGAAAGAAAAUAAUUUCUAUUAGUUU